GAUGAAGCACGUAGCGAAAUGCGAUAAGUAAUGUGAAUUGCAGAAUUCAGUGAAUCAUCGAAUCUUUGAACGCACAUUGCGCCCCCUGGUAUUCCGGGGGGCAUGCCUGUCCGAGCGUCAUUACAACCCUCAAGCUCAGCUUGGUGUUGGGCCCCGCCGCCCCGGCGGGCCCUAAAGUCAGUGGCGGUGCCGUCCGGCUCCGAGCGUAGUAAUUCUUCUCGCUCUGGAGGUCCGGUCGUGUGCUCGCCAGCAACCCCCAAUUUUUUUCAGGUUGACCUCGGAUCAGGUAGGGAUACCCGCUGAACUUAAGCAUAUCAAUAAGCGGAGGA
This 329-nucleotide unclassified non-coding RNA is filed under the name soil metagenome. RNAcentral's name for it is "partial contains 5.8S ribosomal RNA, internal transcribed spacer 2, and large subunit ribosomal RNA". The stretch from base 1 to 120 matches the Rfam family "5.8S ribosomal RNA", at positions 35 to 154 of the family's 154-position model. The record is from RNAcentral.